AUUGAACGCUGGCGGCAGGCCUAACACAUGCAAGUCGAGCGGAUGAAGGGAGCUUGCUCCUGGAUUCAGCGGCGGACGGGUGAGUAAUGCCUAGGAAUCUGCCUGGUAGUGGGGGAUAACGUCCGGAAACGGGCGCUAAUACCGCAUACGUCCUGAGGGAGAUAGUGGGGGAUCUUCGGACCUCACGCUAUCAGAUGAUCCUAGGUCGGAUUAGCUAGUUGGUGGGGUAAAGGCCUACCAAGGCGACGAUCCGUAACUGGUCUGAGAGGAUGAUCAGUCACACUAGAACUGAGACACGGUCCAGACUCCUACGGGAGGCAGCAGUGGGGAAUAUUGGACAAUGGGCGGAAGCCUGAUCCAGCCAUGCCGCGUGUGUGAAGAAGGUCUUCGGAUUGUAAAGCACUUUAAGUUGGGAGGAAGGGCAGUAAGUUAAUACCUUGCUGUUUUGACGUUACCAACAGAAUAAGCACCGGCUAACUUCGUG
This 484-nucleotide ribosomal RNA is filed under the name uncultured bacterium. RNAcentral's name for it is "partial 16S ribosomal RNA". It matches the Rfam family "Bacterial small subunit ribosomal RNA", at positions 30 to 507 of the family's 1533-position model. The record is from RNAcentral.